AGUCAAUAGAUACCCGGGUAGUCCAUGCCGUAAACGAUGAUUGCUAGGUGUGGGGGGUCUGACCCCUUCCGUGCCGGAGUUAAACACAAAUAAGCAAUCCACCUGGGGAGUACGGCCGCAAGGUUGAAACUCAAAGGAAUUGACGGGGGCCCGCACAAGCAGUGGAGUAUGUGGUUUAAUUCGAAGCAACGCGAAGAACCUUACCAGGUCUUGACAUCCACCGAAUCCUGUAGAGAUACGGGAGUGCCCUUCGGGGAACGGUGAGACAGGUGGUGCAUGGUUGUCGUCAGCUCGUGUCGUGAGAUGUUGGGUUAAGUCCCGCAACGAGCGCAACCCUUGUGAAUAGUUGCUACGAAAGAGCACUCUAUUCAGACCGCCGUUGACAAAACGGAGGAAGGUGGGGAUGACGUCAAAUCAUCAUGCCCCUUAUGACCUGGGCUACACACGUACUACCAAUGGCCGUUAACAGAGGAUGCAAUGCCGCGAGGUGGAGCGAACCCCGUAAAAACCGGU
Molecule: ribosomal RNA, 513 nt
Filed under: uncultured bacterium
Lineage: Bacteria
Description: bacterial SSU rRNA
Rfam family: Bacterial small subunit ribosomal RNA
Source: RNAcentral